UCCCUGAUGGCCUAGUGGUUAGGACUCUGGAUUUUCACUGUUGUGGCCCAGGUUCAAUCCCUGGUCAGGGAA
Lipotes vexillifer (Yangtze River dolphin) is the source of this 72-nucleotide non-coding RNA. The record is from the annotation of a RefSeq genome assembly. NCBI's taxonomy places the organism in Eukaryota, Metazoa, Chordata, Mammalia, Artiodactyla, Lipotidae.